CCCUCCUGUCCUCACCCAGAGGCGGGAGGCCGGCUGUCCCGCAGCAGCUAGCAGAGCGGACGGCAGCCCACUAGCCCUGCCGCUGAGCGGGACCUGGUGCGGCAGGAGCGGGGACAGCGGCACCGUGAGCGUGGGCAGGAGUGCAGUGGCACCUGGAGGACAUGGAGGAAAGACCCGCGGAGACCAACGCCAAUGUGGACAACUCGGCGUCCCCCUCGGUGGCCCAGCUGGCCGGGCGGUUCAGGGAGCAGGCAGCCGCGGCGAAGGAGAUGCCAGCCAGUAAGCCUGCCAGGAGGAAACCGCCCUGCUCCCUCCCCCUGUUCCCUCCCAAGGUAGAGCUGGGCCAGAACGGAGAGGAGAAAUCACCACCCAACACAAGCCACCUUCCCAAGGUGAAGGUGAAGAGCUCGCCUCUGAUUGAGAAGCUUCAGGCCAACCUAGCCUUCGACCCCGCCGCCCUGCUGCCUGGGGCCUCACCCAAGAGCCCUGGACUCAAGGGCGCAGUGUCACCAUUUCACAGCCCACCUUCCACGCCCAGCAGCCCCGGGGUGCGGUCUCGGGCCAGCGAGCCAGAGGAGGUGCCCAUCAGCUUCGACCAGCCUCCAGAGGGCAGCCACCUGCCCUGUUACAACAAGGUGCGCACCAGGGGCUCCAUAAAGCGGCGCCCCCCGUCGCGGCGGUUCCGCAAGUCGCAGUCGGAGUUCGGGGAGCUGGGCGAUUUCCGGGCGCCGGAGCCGGCCCAGGAGAACGGGGCGCGGGAGGAAGCCGGGGACCAGGCGCUUCCGCCCCAGAGCCCGGCCCCGGGCUCCCCUCCGCCCGGCGAGGAGGCGGGACGGGGCGCCAGCCGGACCCCGGGGUCCCCCGAGAGGCCCCCUCUGAGGAGGACGCCCAGCAGGACGGACCCGCAGGAGGGGGAGGCCCGGGCCCCCGAGGAGGCCGCGCCCCCGGCCCCGGGCCCCGGCGCAGCGGCCCCGGGCGCAGAGGAGAGCGGGUGCGGGGGCCCCGCGGAGGCCGGGCCGGCGGCGGAGCAGCGGGAGGAGGCCCGGGAGCCCGCACAGCAGGGCCCGGACACGCAGCGGCCGGAGGCGGGGGCUGGGGGGCAGGGGAGCCCCCGGAGCCCCCCUGGCGGCCCGGAGGGCAGCCUCGCCCCCGCAGAGGGCAGCGGCGAGGAGGAGCACCAGGAGGGGGCUGCCCAGGAGCCCGGCUGCACCCCCAGGACCGGCCGCGAGGGCCCCGAGACCGAGUCACAGCCUCCUCAGAAUCCUGGUCUCCAGGCCCACCCAGUGCACCGGCACCUCAUUCACCUUCCGAAUGCCAGCUCGAUGCCUGCUCUCCUGCCCACACCUCCCUGUCCUUUGGUUACCUGAGUUCAUGUUUCUCUGCAAGCUGACCUUUGCUGGCGUCCCCAGCCUUCACUGUCCCCCAUGACAGGGCCCAGGGCUCCAUCCUUCCCCACCUACCAUUCCACAAUAGGCAAUGGCCAUCUCACCAGCUUCCGCCGGCCCUGCCCCAGAUCCCCCUGCACACCAGCCAGAUGCUCUGGGCAGCUUGGGCCACCUGGAGCCCGCCUACCGCCCCUCGUUCUCCACGGGCGCUCCCUGAUUGCCCGGGUCAAACACCCCAGCUGCUUGCACACCUUCCACUCAGUGCAGUCCAUGAGGAUGGCCCACGCCACACUGUGGAUCCGUCCGUAAGCCUCUCCGCGUCUCAGCUGGAAACCUGAUGAGGCCCAAGCAGCUCCUAACACAUGGGGAGCUGACAGCGGUGCUCCCACAAGUGCUCAAUCAAUAGCUGGCUUCCUGGCCUUCCCUCCAGGGACAACACUCCUGUCCAGGACACGAGGAUGUAAAGAGGAAGCCCUGUGCUGGGCAGCGAAGGGGCUAGAGACGGCUCCUCCGAAGUAGCAGCCGCAAUGGUAGCAGCAAAUGAGACGUCAGCAGCGGACUACGGGCAGGAGUCCACCUGAAGACACGGGUCGUGCUUCCUGGCCUCCACCCCAGCCUGGCAGAGACUGGGGCUGAGGACAGCAGAUUUUAUCAGCUUGCAUUUGUGUUAUUUGAUGGACUUGGUUUAGAAAACAAAAACAAAACACUUAUUUAAAACAACUUGCAAGAGUGACUACUCCCUGGGGAUACUGGUCAACCCCUGGGUCCAGACACUGUCCACUCGCACCCACCCCUGCGCUGACCUCGGGACGGACUCUGACUGAGCUGAUCGGAUUGUGUGUGAAGUGCUAGCCUUUUACUGCCCAAGAGUUUUUACCUGCUCUAAUGUAAGCAAAACCCAAUUUCAGGUGGCCAGAAACGACAAAGAAAAUAGUAUUGCUGAAAAUGUGAAUCCUGCGACAAAAAGACCUUAAAUUGUGUCAAGACCCCGAGACAGCCUUCCAGCAGGGCCCAGAUGUGAACUGGCCAGUCAACUCUUAAAACACUGGACUAGGGUCCUAGCUUGUUUGGCUCAGUAGAUAAAGGUCCCGGUUUCAAUUCCAGCCAAAGGCACAUGUCCGGGUUCUCUGCCCUCAGUGGGGGGCAUGCAAGAGGCAGCCAAUCAACGACUCUCAUCAUUGAUG
Molecule: RNA transcript, 2569 nt
Organism: Myotis myotis
Lineage: Eukaryota; Metazoa; Chordata; Mammalia; Chiroptera; Vespertilionidae
Gene: RCSD1
Gene name: RCSD domain containing 1
Exons: 8
Source: RefSeq, a predicted model, not a curated record